GACUAAUUAAGGAAGAAAUCACAAAGUUAUGCAACAGUUUGCAAGCUUCGUAGUUGGGCUUCUUUUUGUUAUGCAUGCCCUAGGCGAGUUUACUACACAUGCUCAUCAAGGUAAAAAAGAGUUUUCAGUGACCGGAAAUGGACCAUCUGAUCAACAGCUGGGUCAAGGAUGACAGGGCUUGGAGGAAGAAAAAUGGUGGCACACAAAGUGUUUAGGAAGUUAGAGCCUGUAAGUGCAGUUGGGCCAAAUGGAGAUACCCGUAGCUCUACUACAUCAACGAAUUCAGGUAAGGACAGUACUUAUCCAUUGAAAGAGACUACUAAGUAUGAUGAAACUGAUGAUCAUUAGUUGACAGAGGAAACAAGAAGGCUUCUUAAGGCAACAAGAGAAACAUUAAGCCUGAUGAAUAAAGAUUAUAAGGGAA
Malus domestica (apple) is the source of this 424-nucleotide non-coding RNA. Lineage: Eukaryota; Viridiplantae; Streptophyta; Magnoliopsida; Rosales; Rosaceae. The record is from RefSeq and is a predicted model, not a curated record.